Molecule: long non-coding RNA, 670 nt
Organism: Microcebus murinus (gray mouse lemur)
Lineage: Eukaryota; Metazoa; Chordata; Mammalia; Primates; Cheirogaleidae
Source: RefSeq, a predicted model, not a curated record
GUUUGUAAAAAGAAAUGCAUUAUUAAAACAGGAUAUUUCUGCCAGGAUUAAUGACUUACUUUCAAAAUAAGUCUUUAGCUUCAAAAAAGGAACAUUACAUAAGAUGCUUAAUUUUUAAAAUUAUUUUUUAAAUACAUUUUGUAUGAACAUACGGAGAAACAUUUUUUCCAAAGGGCAUCCUUUUCUCAUGUAGAUUUUAAGUUGUGGAUGCAGGUGGCCAAUUAAAAACACUGCUUAUCAUUUGCUUUUGGAAUUUAAUACAGAUAGAAGGCUUGAUUCUUUGAGGCUCUUCGAAAGGAACAUUAACCCAUAAAGCAAGGAACAAGACAGUAGAAUCAGCUACCUGAGUAUUGGUUGGUGACUUCUGAGCCCACUGGAACAGACGUUCAUAGACAUUUCCAUCAUAACAGCCAAGUGCUGAAUUUAAACACUGAUCAGUGAAGUCAAAAGCAUCAGUUAACAGGAUGGCAUCCUUCCUGAGAGAGGAAACAAGAGUUCCUUCUUGAUGGUUCAAUUUUAGAUAUUAUCUGUAGACUCUUCAUUACAAAAGACCGGUUAUUGAGAUAAUGGACAGCUAGGACUGGUCCUCUUCUAAAAAAUACUUUCUCUAAGAAAAAUCUUUUGACAAAAUUCAAUCCCCUUUUCAUGAUGCGAACACUUAAGAAAAUAG